AGAGUUUGAUCCUGGCUCAGGAUGAACGCUGGCGGCGUGCUUAACACAUGCAAGUCGAACGAAGCACUUUUGCUGAGACCUUCGGGUGGAUUUAAAAGUGACUGAGUGGCGGACGGGUGAGUAACGCGUGGGUAACCUGCCUCACACAGGGGGAUAACAGUUAGAAAUGACUGCUAAUACCGCAUAAGCGCACGGUCUCGCAUGGGACAGUGUGAAAAACUCCGGUGGUGUGAGAUGGACCCGCGUCUGAUUAGCUAGUUGGUGGGGUAACGGCCUACCAAGGCGACGAUCAGUAGCCGACCUGAGAGGGUGACCGGCCACAUUGGGACUGAGACACGGCCCAAACCCCUACGGGAGGCAGCAGUGGGGAAUAUUGCACAAUGGGGGAAACCCUGAUGCAGCGACGCCGCGUGAUUGAAGAAGUAUUUCGGUAUGUAAAGAUCUAUCAGCAAGGAAGAAAAUGACGGUACUUGACUAAGAAGCCCCGGCUAACUACGUGCCAGCAGCCGCGGU
RNAcentral lists this ribosomal RNA (513 nucleotides) under uncultured bacterium. RNAcentral describes it as "bacterial SSU rRNA". It matches the Rfam family "Bacterial small subunit ribosomal RNA", at positions 8 to 521 of the family's 1533-position model. The record is from RNAcentral.